GAGGGUAUGGCUUAGUGGCAGAGUUUGUGCUUAGCAUGCACAAUGCCCUGGGUUAAUAAACCUAAUUACCUCC
Molecule: transfer RNA, 73 nt
Filed under: Camelus bactrianus (Bactrian camel)
Lineage: Eukaryota; Metazoa; Chordata; Mammalia; Artiodactyla; Camelidae
Also listed under: 2 other names
Rfam family: tRNA
About the family: Transfer RNA (tRNA) molecules are approximately 80 nucleotides in length. Their secondary structure includes four short double-helical elements and three loops (D, anti-codon, and T loops). Further hydrogen bonds mediate the characteristic L-shaped molecular structure. tRNAs have two regions of fundamental functional importance: the anti-codon, which is responsible for specific mRNA codon recognition, and the 3' end, to which the tRNAs corresponding amino acid is attached (by aminoacyl-tRNA synthetases). tRNAs cope with the degeneracy of the genetic code in two manners: having more than one tRNA (with a specific anti-codon) for a particular amino acid; and 'wobble' base-pairing, i.e. permitting non-standard base-pairing at the 3rd anti-codon position.
Source: Rfam by way of RNAcentral